GAUGAACGCUGGCGGCGUGCCUAAUACAUGCAAGUCGAGCGAACGGACGAGAAGCUUGCUUCUCUGAUGUUAGCGGCGGACGGGUGAGUAACACGUGGAUAACCUACCUAUAAGACUGGGAUAACUUCGGGAAACCGGAGCUAAUACCGGAUAAUAUUUUGAACCGCAGGGUUGAAAAGUGAAAGACGGUCUUGGUGUCACUUAUAGAUGGAUUCGCGCUGCAUUAUCUGGUUGGUAAGGUAACGGCUUAUCAAGGCAACGAUGCAUAGCCGACUUGAGAGGGUGUUCCCCCCCUCUGAGGCUGACAGGCGGUCCUGACUCCGAGGUACGGCCGCGGUUGGUAAGCUUCCGCACUGGGCGAAAUCCUGCCGGAGCAGCGCCGCCUUGGUGAUGAAGGUCUUCGGGUCGUAAAACGCUGUUCUUAGGGAAGAACGUAUGUGCAUGUAACUGUGCACGACUUGCGGGUACCUGUAAAGAAGCCCCCGCCUACCUCCUU
This 496-nucleotide ribosomal RNA is filed under the name uncultured bacterium. RNAcentral's name for it is "partial 16S ribosomal RNA". It matches the Rfam family "Bacterial small subunit ribosomal RNA", at positions 28 to 506 of the family's 1533-position model. The record is from RNAcentral.